This 519-nucleotide ribosomal RNA is filed under the name Bifidobacterium longum subsp. infantis. RNAcentral describes it as "bacterial SSU rRNA". It matches the Rfam family "Bacterial small subunit ribosomal RNA", at positions 163 to 697 of the family's 1533-position model. Lineage: Bacteria; Bacillati; Actinomycetota; Actinomycetes; Bifidobacteriales; Bifidobacteriaceae. The record is from RNAcentral.
GUAAUGCCGGAUGCUCCAACUUACCGCAUGGUUUGUUGGGAAAGCUUUCGCGGUAUGGGAUGGGGUCGCGUCCUAUCAGCUUGACGGCGGGGUAACGGCCCACCGUGGCUUCGACGGGUAGCCGGCCUGAGAGGGCGACCGGCCACAUUGGGACUGAGAUACGGCCCAGACUCCUACGGGAGGCAGCAGUGGGGAAUAUUGCACAAUGGGCGCAAGCCUGAUGCAGCGACGCCGCGUGAGGGAUGGAGGCCUUCGGGUUGUAAACCUCUUUUAUCGGGGAGCAAGCGAGAGUGAGUUUACCCGUUGAAUAAGCACCGGCUAACUACGUGCCAGCAGCCGCGGUAAUACGUAGGGUGCAAGCGUUAUCCGGAAUUAUUGGGCGUAAAGGGCUCGUAGGCGGUUCGUCGCGUCCGGUGUGAAAGUCCAUCGCUUAACGGUGGAUCCGCGCCGGGUACGGGCGGGCUUGAGUGCGGUAGGGGAGACUGGAAUUCCCGGUGUAACGGUGGAAUGUGUAGAUAU